This 1013-nucleotide ribosomal RNA is filed under the name uncultured cyanobacterium. RNAcentral describes it as "bacterial SSU rRNA". It matches the Rfam family "Bacterial small subunit ribosomal RNA", at positions 60 to 1112 of the family's 1533-position model. The record is from RNAcentral. Lineage: Bacteria; Bacillati; Cyanobacteriota.
AGUCGAACGGAAUCCGCAAGGAUUUAGUGGCGGACGGGUGAGUAACGCGUGAGAAUCUGCCUUCAGGUCGGGGACAACAGCUGGAAACGGCUGCUAAGACCCGAUGUGCUUAAAAGUGAAAGGUUUACUGCCUGAAGAUGAGCUCGCGUCCGAUUAGCUAGUUGGUGGGGUAAUGGCCUACCAAGGCGUCGAUCGGUAACUGGUCUGAGAGGACGACCAGUCACACUGGGACUGAGACACGGCCCAGACUCCUACGGGAGGCAGCAGUGGGGAAUUUUCCGCAAUGGGCGAAAGCCUGACGGAGCAAGACCGCGUGAGGGAUGAAGGCUCUUGGGUUGUAAACCUCUUUUCUCAGGGGAAGAAACCUGACGGGUACCUGAGGGAAUAAGCAUCGGCUAACUCCGUGCCAGCAGCCGCGGUAAUACGGAGGAUGCAAGCGUUAUCCGGAAUUAUUGGGCGUAAAGCGUUCGCAGGUGGCUGUUCAAGUCUGCUGUCAAAGACCGGGGCUUAACCCUAGAAAGGCAGUGGAAACUGAGCGGCUAGAGUGCAGUAUGGGUAGAGGGAAUCCCAGUGUAGCGGUGAAAUGCGUAGAGAUUGGGAAGAACACCGGUGGCGAAAGCGCUCUGCUGGACUGCAACUGACACUGAGGGACGAAAGCUAGGGGAGCGAAAGGGAUUAGAUACCCCUGUAGUCCUAGCCGUAAACGAUGGAUACUAGGCGUUGCCGGGCUCGACCCUGGCAGUGUCGGAGCUAACGCGUUAAGUAUCCCGCCUGGGAAGUACGCACGCAAGUGUGAAACUCAAAGGAAUUGACGGGGGCCCGCACAAGCGGUGGAGUAUGUGGUUUAAUUCGAUGCAACGCGAAGAACCUUACCAGGGCUUGACAUGUCGCGAAUCCCGGUGAAAGCUGGGAGUGCCUUCGGGAGCGCGAACACAGGUGGUGCAUGGCUGUCCGUCAGCUCGGUGUCGUGAGAUGUUGGGUUAAGUCCCGCAACGAGCGCAACCCUCGUUUUU